UGGGGAAUAUUGCGCAAUGGGCGAAAGCCUGACGCAGCCAUGCCGCGUGUGUGAAGAAGGCCUUCGGGUUGUAAAGCACUUUCAGUGGGGAGGAAAGGGGGAUGGCUAAUAUCCAUCACCGGUGACGCUACCCACAGAAGAAGCACCGGCUAAUUCCGUGCCAGCAGCCGCGGUAAUACGGAAGGUGCAAGCGUUAAUCGGAAUUACUGGGCGUAAAGCGCGCGUAGGCGGCUUGGUAAGUCGGGUGUGAAAGCCCCGGGCUCAACCUGGGAACGGCACUCGAUACUGCUGGGCUGGAGUACGAGAGAGGGGGGUGGAAUUCCAGGUGUAGCGGUGAAAUGCGUAGAGAUCUGGAGGAACACCGGUGGCGAAGGCGGCCCCCUGGCUCGAUACUGACGCUGAGGUGCGAAAGCGUGGGGAGCAAACAGG
This 429-nucleotide ribosomal RNA is filed under the name uncultured Alteromonadales bacterium. Its description in RNAcentral is "bacterial SSU rRNA". It matches the Rfam family "Bacterial small subunit ribosomal RNA", at positions 355 to 776 of the family's 1533-position model. The record is from RNAcentral. Lineage: Bacteria; Pseudomonadati; Pseudomonadota; Gammaproteobacteria; Alteromonadales.